UACAGAGGUCUCAAGCGUUGUUCGGAUUCAUUGGGCGUAAAGGGUGCGUAGGUGGUGGGGUAAGUCGGAUGUGAAAUCUCCGAGCUCAACUCGGAAAUGGCAUUGGAAACUACCCUGCUAGAGGGUCGGAGGGGGGACUGGAAUACUUGGUGUAGCAGUGAAAUGCGUAGAUAUCAAGUGGAACACCAGUGGCGAAGGCGAGUCCCUGGACGACUCCUGACACUGAGGCACGAAAGCUAGGGGAGCAAACAGG
Molecule: ribosomal RNA, 253 nt
Filed under: uncultured bacterium
Lineage: Bacteria
Description: partial 16S ribosomal RNA
Rfam family: Bacterial small subunit ribosomal RNA
Source: RNAcentral